RNAcentral lists this small RNA (79 nucleotides) under Xenorhabdus cabanillasii. RNAcentral describes it as "MicA sRNA". It matches the Rfam family "MicA sRNA". Lineage: Bacteria; Pseudomonadati; Pseudomonadota; Gammaproteobacteria; Enterobacterales; Morganellaceae. The record is from Rfam by way of RNAcentral.
GAAGACGCGCAAAAUUGUUAUCAUCCUUAUUUUUCUAAGAGACUUUAUUUGGUUUCGGCCACCAAAUGGUGGCCAUUUU